RNAcentral lists this ribosomal RNA (640 nucleotides) under bacterium Co.J27A. Its description in RNAcentral is "bacterial SSU rRNA". It matches the Rfam family "Bacterial small subunit ribosomal RNA", at positions 51 to 660 of the family's 1533-position model. The record is from RNAcentral.
UAUCAUGCAAGUCGAGCGCAGGAAGCCGUUCUGAACCCUCCGGGGGGACGAACCGUGGAAUGAGCGGCGGACGGGUGAGUAACACGUAAAGAACCUGCCCAUAGGUCUGGGAUAACCACGAGAAAUCGGGGCUAAUACCGGAUGUGUCAUCGGACCGCAUGGUCCGCUGAUGAAAGGCGCUUCGGCGUCGCCCAUGGAUGGCUUUGCGGUGCAUUAGCUAGUUGGUGGGGUAAUGGCCCACCAAGGCGACGAUGCAUAGCCGACCUGAGAGGGUGAUCGGCCACACUGGGACUGAGACACGGCCCAGACUCCUACGGGAGGCAGCAGUAGGGAAUCUUCCACAAUGGACGAAAGUCUGAUGGAGCAACGCCGCGUGAACGAUGAAGGCUUUCGGGUCGUAAAGUUCUGUUGUAAGGGAAGAACAAGUGCCGCAGGCAAUGGCGGCACCUUGACGGUACCUUGCGAGAAAGCCACGGCUAACUACGUGCCAGCAGCCGCGGUAAUACGUAGGUGGCAAGCGUUGUCCGGAAUUAUUGGGCGUAAAGCGCGCGCAGGCGGCCUCUUAAGUCUGAUGUGAAAGCCCCCGGCUCAACCGGGGAGGGCCAUUGGAAACUGGGAGGCUUGAGUAUAGGAGAGAAGA